UGCUCUGUGGUUAAUGAACCUGGUGGAGCAUCGCAUUUGCACACUCUCCUCUGGCAGAGGCUGAAUCAGGGAGUGGGAGCAAGUAAUGGAAAGGUAGCUUUCCCUCUGAAAUGACGAAGAUUUCCCAGGGCAAGAAUUACUGAAUACUCUCUUGGCAGUGAGAAGAAAGUCCAUGGCAUUCUGGCUGAAGCUCAGAACAAAAGUCAAGAAAGUCCAUCAUCAUCCAUGGAGUUUCUGUUGCUCUGUUUAUUGAAGAGAGAGAGGAAGCAGGAGGAGAAGAAUUACAAUGUGUUGUUCAAAGGAAUUACUGCAUGGCUGAGUGUCAGCCUCUGAAAUUCUCAAAAAGCUCAUGAAAAGAACUGCUGUGUUUCCUUUGGAAAAACUGGAUGGCAGCAUAAAGAGAGAAAAAAAAAGUGUCAGAAUAUGUUACAGCUUUACAGGGAUUUGGAAAUGUAAUAGAGAGUUUAGGAUGUACCUAUUGGUGUCACAACUCAAACUGGACAAAGAAUUCAUUUGGGGAUAGAUUUUAUUAUUCUUAAUGUGUUAUGACCCACCAUGAGGACAGAAGUACUGCUCAGCAAUGCAAACGUGUCAGUGGAAAAUCAUGAGGUUUUCCUUGAGAAACAAUGAAAUUCCUCAAAGGUUAGUAGUGUGCAAUAAAGAAGGUUGAUGAGAUGACUGUUUGGAUCAUCUUCAAAGUUGAGGAAAGACUAUUUGAUGUGCUUAGCCAAGGGGGC
This is a long non-coding RNA of Harpia harpyja (harpy eagle), 737 nucleotides long. RefSeq lists it as uncharacterized. Lineage: Eukaryota; Metazoa; Chordata; Aves; Accipitriformes; Accipitridae. The record is from RefSeq and is a predicted model, not a curated record. The transcript is spliced from 3 exons.